This 471-nucleotide ribosomal RNA is filed under the name uncultured Alphaproteobacteria bacterium. RNAcentral's name for it is "bacterial SSU rRNA". It matches the Rfam family "Bacterial small subunit ribosomal RNA", at positions 9 to 526 of the family's 1533-position model. Lineage: Bacteria; Pseudomonadati; Pseudomonadota; Alphaproteobacteria. The record is from RNAcentral.
GAGUUUGAUCAUGGCUCAGAAUGAACGCUGGCGGCAUGCCUAACACAUGCAAGUCGAACGAAGGCUUCGGCCUUAGUGGCGCACGGGUGCGUAACGCGUGGGAAUCUACCCUUGGGUUCGGAAUAACUCAGAGAAAUUUGAGCUAAUACCGGAUGAUGUCGCAAGACCAAAGAUUUAUCGCCCAAGGAUGAGCCCGCGUAGGAUUAGCUAGUUGGUGGGGUAAAGGCCCACCAAGGCGACGAUCCUUAGCUGGUCUGAGAGGAUGAUCAGCCACACUGGGACUGAGACACGGCCCAGACUCCUACGGGAGGCAGCAGUGGGGAAUAUUGGACAAUGGGCGAAAGCCUGAUCCAGCAAUGCCGCGUGAGUGAUGAAGGCCUUAGGGUUGUAAAGCUCUUUUACCCGGGAUGAUAAUGACAGUACCGGGAGAAUAAGCUCCGGCUAACUCCGUGCCAGCAGCCGCCGCCGUAC